Long non-coding RNA from Dromaius novaehollandiae (emu), 10710 nucleotides. RefSeq lists it as uncharacterized. The record is from RefSeq and is a predicted model, not a curated record. The transcript is spliced from 4 exons. Lineage: Eukaryota; Metazoa; Chordata; Aves; Casuariiformes; Dromaiidae.
CUCGAGUGUCUGAAAGUUUGUUUGUUCACCUGUUGUGGUUAUGCUGUUUGGUUUAACAGGAGACAUCUCUACUUCUGAACCUCAUAACUUGAAGCAAUAGGUGCCUUUUAAAGCUAAUCUUAGCUUUACACACUGGAGUGUGUCUCAGGUUAUAAAUGCAGCAAAAACCAGUGAGUAACAGCAGUGUUGAUUACUAAUUGUUUACUUCUGUUAUUUGCAUUUACUUGUUUUAACUUUGCAUUAACUUGUCUUAGCUGAAUUUCCUGGUGGGAGUUGAAGAGAAGCGGUGGAGUGGACUCCUUAAACUUAUCUGACGUUUCGUAUCGAGUGGAGUACUAGUUGCAGAGUUUUGUUUAACUUCUGCAAGGUUUUCCGCAGAUGGUAGUAAAAUUAAGUUAAUACCUAAGUGCUUUCACCUUGUGUCCCGUUGAUCAAGCAGGAGAGCCUCGGGAAGCUGUUAAGCAUGAAAACUGCAUUUCUGCAUUAUUGAACACUGAGUUAGGAUGCGGGUACAGAGGACAUUAAAUUGGUAAUGUAUGAGAUAUAAAAAAGCUGCUGGAAAUGUCAAUUAUUUAAGAGGAUGACAGAAAGCCAGAACACUGAAUAACUUAAGAUCUGCUUGUAUUAAAAGUGACCAUGUAUAUCUUAACCAAACAUAAUCGAAUGUGAUGUCUUACUUUAUUAUAUAGUCUUCUUACAAACAAACUCAUACUUUCUUGCACAGUCAUAAUAGAAACAAACUUCUUACAGCUAAACUAGCUAGGAGGGAUAGUUGAAGAUGCCUACAGAGAAGUUUUUGAAAAAAUCUUUGGUGUAGUGUGCAGACACAGGAAACUGCUUCUAUUUGAAGCCAUGGAGACGCAUUUGAAUUUCUUUCUAGCUGAGGAAAGCACUUUGUUGUGUAAUAACUAUCCAGUUUUAAAAAUCAAGUGUGAAAUGAGCUCAAAAUUGCAUUAAGCAGACCAUUUCCAUUGCUUGUUUUCUUCAGUCCUUCUGGAAUCACUGGAGUAGACUUUAAUUUUUUUGUUACAUUUGGUGAAAAAAUAUAUUAGCGUUAAUACUUGAGUUCUUAUGCAGUCAUGCGUGCUUUUGUUUCUUGAGGAAAUCAUUACAGCUGAAUGAGAGCGUGGAUUUGAAUAGUGGUGCAUUAUUUGAAUUAGAUACCUUCUGGAAGAUAACCUUGACUUGAGAUAAAGUGACUACCUUCUGAUUAUAUAACCAAGUGAAUGCAUUGACUGGGAAGGUAGAUGUAUUUUGGACGUGAUCUACACAAAUUCUGUAUAAAACUUAAGUGAAAUAGUCUCUCUCUGAGGAAGAAAAGGGGUGGGCUGAAUUCAGGUGGGCUCUAGGCUCUUGAGGCAGUGUGAGUGAAUGGACAGCCAGAUGUAUCAGUUACUGCUGUCUUCUUCCAAAGGAAGAACAAGACUGUAAUCAAAGGGAAGGCUUCAUCUACUAUAUAAAAGAAUUAUCGUGAUAAAUUUUGCUGGCUUUAAUUUCGAAUGAGGAAUUUGUUCAGCUGAGGUUAGCAAUCUCUUUAGGUACUCAGCAACCUUACUUGUACCCCAUCCCACUUCUCUUCACUGUAGAAAUAAGAUUAAGGGAGUAUUGGGACUUCUGUAAGAAAAUUCUUGGUAUUUGUAUAGAUGUGAAAUUGUCACUGAGUUUGUACAUAAAGCAUAUGAAGAGCUUGGUAUGGAGAUUUUCUUGCUUCAGCUUCAAAACUUAGGAUUCACCAAGUUACAAUUAAGUUACAUAGAUGAAUCAAAAUCACUUUUUCAAUUUGAGAGAACUUGUGCUAGAAAUAGUUUUCUAUUAGACAGUUCUUAGGUUGACGUUUAUGUGCACACAUUUAAAAAAAAAAAAAAAAAAAAAAGCAAAGCAGUCUGAAUUAGAACUCCUAUUCCAAUAUUUUUUCCUUUGGCUCAUUUUGAGAGUCAUUCAAGUCUAAUAAUAUGUUGAACUUGACAGACUGUGCAAUUAGAAUUUAAUACCAGUCUUUAUACUAAUAAUGUAUAAACUGGAGUAUUUUUGCUAAGAUUUAAUGUCCUAGCUUGAGCACACAUCACUGCUGCUGAAAGAAGUGGUUUCACCUUUUUUUUUCCCACAUCAUUUUGUUGUUCUGGCACAGGGACUGGAGGUAGGAAUGAGUGUUUGGUGUUUUUGUUGUUUAUUUUUGUUUACAAUGAAAUGGGUAGGAAAAAAACCAGAUUCUUUUGGUAAUGAAUCAUCUGUUCUUACGUCAGUACUGAGUAUAGGCAGGUCUGAGAUAGGAAUGAGCAGCUACAUUCAUUGCAGCAGCAUACGUUGGUUUGGCAGUGUGCUUGUUCUGCAAAAUGAAGUUUUGUUUAAAGAUGAACCUCUUACACUAGGGGAAGCAGAAAUUUCCCUGACAACUUUAAUUUAGUCUAGGUUUGUUAGCCCUUAGCUUAGAUGUUGUUUGCUGUCCCUAACACUACUAUAUCAGGUGAGAAGUAUGUAGUUCUGUUGCAUUUGUAGGAAACAGUUAAGUGCCUGAAAGCAUUGGAUCUGAUUGAUUUAUGUUACUGUAGCUAAGUUGAACCCAAACUCAUCUCAAGUGGCUCAUCUUUCCUAGCUGAGAAAAUGAAUCCAGGCUUUUUACAAAAGUUCAUGGCAGAAGAGUAGGAGACAGCGGUCACAAAUUGAAACAGGGGAUGUUCUGACUGAAUAUAAGCAAAACCAAACCAAAUGAACAAACAAAAAAACCUCACCAACCAUUCCAAGGAUGGAUAAGCAUUGGAGUGGGUUGAUCAGAGACACUGUGGAACCUCCAUCCUUGGAGGUUUUCAAGACCUGAUUGGACAAAGCCCUAAGCAGCCUGGUUUGAGUUUGGUGUUGACCCUGCUUUCUGAGGAGAUUGGACUAGAGACUUGAGCACCUUCUGAACCUCUGUGAUUUUAUGAAUUAAUUAUUGAAAGAGGUGUUAAAACAGGAUUUGCAGUGCUGCUGAAGUGAACACUGCUACCUAGAAGUUAAUGCUAUUGGAUGUGGUUAGAAAUAUCAUUUUUUUGCCUAAUUUUAUAGUGUUUUAAUAUAUCCUGUCAAUUUAGCAAUAGCAUAAACAGAAACACUUCUGUGCAUGUGAUGGCUAGUGCCAAAAUACUCACGAACUCUUAAUGUUUAUCCUAAAAGUUUUGGAGGUGGUGUGGGGGUGCUCUGUUCCCCUGCAAGCUCAGUUCAGGUUUGUGUGGCAACUGUUCAGACUGAUAGAUGCUCCACAGAGCUGCCAACUAAAUUCCUGUAAGAGAUUGUUUUGUUUUUAAUAGUAGGUUGAGGGAAAGAUCUUGUAUACUGUGAAAAGCAAACGGUUGGGGUUAAGAGAAAGCUUAUUUAAUUGGAGAGCAAAUAGAUUUGAUGAUCCCUCCUAAAGGGAGCAACUUGUACUUUGUUUUAGAAGUAGAGAUUACUUGUACUUCUUGUGCAAGUCCUUUAAACCCUGAGGGCUUUGAGGUGAAUCACAAGCUAAAGACUCAGGUUCUGACUAAUGUGCCAUAAGCUUGUGUCAGGCAGUAGGAUAAAAGUUUUUAUUGUUUAGCUUAUAUACAGAAGGUUAACAGUGUGCUUGGGAGAAUAGGUUUCCCAGUUACAUUACUCUUAAGUGCAGGAGUUAACAAAUGUUUUAAAUUGGACGUCAAUAGUAUCAGUCACUGUCAGACAGGCAAUGUGCUAUGGGACCUGUAUGCUUGGUGAUAAACAUCCCAUCAUCUUCUUUACCUCCUCAGGCUGUUUGAUGUCAUUCUCCUGUAAAGGAAUAUUAUGUCCUUUACAUGUCACUCAUUUAGAUGGUUGUAUACUGCAUAAGCAAACUUAUCAGUCUGUGUUGAGCAGAGAUACUGGCAAACGAAUGAAACAUUACGUUUGAGACCAUAGUGUGUCUAAUAGUCAGUGCACGUGUGCAGGGGAUUCCUGGGUAGCUUCAACUGUGUGCUUGGGUAAAAGAUGAACUGAAAUGCUUGUCUUUUAGAAGAUCCUCAGUCUUACUAGAUCAAAGUCAAGUUAUUCCAGUAGGUGAAACUGGGCUAAGGUGCAAUUGUUACUGAAGAAUGAACUUGACACCUUCUGGAAAUUUGUUUGUUGCAGAAAAUGAUAUUGGUAUUAAAGCAGGCACUAAUUGUAGUAUGUUAGAGUUGGGCACACUUGGUACUGGUGUUCAGCCGAAUGCUUUAGCUUUUAGUGCUAACUGAUAUUGAUACUGUUUAGGUGAGACGAUAGAUACAGUGAUAAGCCUAUCUGCUUGUGGUAAUUAAACUUUCUGGAGUACUUCUUGUAAGACAAAACAGUUGAACCUUGCUGUACCAUGCAGGAAGCUUUACAAGCAGAACCGAUUCUAUCUGGGCAAUGAGAAAGACAAUUAUAGUGAAAACUGACAGUGUACACAUCAAAUAAAAGUGAUGCUUGCUUAGAGUUGAAGCACUGGGGUGCUGAAUGUUGAAGUUAUUUAGGAUGAGCUUGCAAUUUAUGUAUUUAUAUAUUUAUUUUACAGAUAGCCUGUAAAAUCUGUUAAUUAUACUGUGAUUGCUGAUGACCCAGGUUUGUAUGUGAAGGAAAGGAUAGGCUUAAAAAUGUUGUGUUAAAAAUGACUUCAUCAUUUCUGCAUCAAUUGAAAUUCUUUAGAGGUGAGCAAUACUGGUUAAUAAAAUCCCUCUAAUUGUUUUUAUCCCUGUCCAAAUCUACAGGUAAAGUGGAAAAGAAAGAGAUUGCCCUUACUGCUGAGGCAGCUGACAAUUUCAUUUGGUCAUUCAUCACUUUACUUUAGUUCAACCUUAAAACCACAAGAAGUUAGGAAUUGACUAAACUGAAUUUUUUGCACAAUUGUAAACAACUUGUAUAUCUAGGUCAUAUUUUGUAUUUUUUAUCACUUAAUAAUUUUAUUGGGGGAAAAAUUUCGGCGAAAAAAUAUAAAGGAUUCAUGAUGAGAAGAACAGAUUAUUUUGAUAAAAGAUUAACAGAAGCUGUGUAACAAUUUGUAUCAAUUUAGGAAGUUGCAGGUAGGCAAACCUAGUUUGGACCAGUUUAAACUUGCAUGUUGUUUUUGUAUCAAAUGCAUCUUUCACUUAAGGUCUUGUGAAUUGAGUACCUUUUUCACUACGAUAUUGGUGCAAUAAGUAUCUUUAGAUCCCUUGCUUUCAAGCAUAACUUCCUAGCAGGUAAACUAGCUAAAUCUUGCUUGACAAAAGCAGUACUAACACAGUUGGUUAUGCAAGUUUAUUCUAGUUUUUAACUAUUAAUUCAUUGUAUGGGAAGAAGGGAUGAAAAUGGAAGAAAUGCUUAAGCAGUUGCUUGCUACUUCAAAAAAUAACCUGAAUAGAAUACCUACAAUUGCUUGUCAGCAUUUGUGAUUUUGAUCAGAUUGUGUGCAGUUUGGGCUUAGAAUAUUAAAAUGACCUUUAAAAAGUCAUGUUAAACAUCUUGGCUGAAAGACAGAGAUCUAGAAUGGUUAAAAUGCAUUUGCCCUUCAUCUUCUUGUAUACUCACCUAUAUCUUAGGUGUCUUUCGAGGGAAACUUCUAACAGCAAAAUAGUUGAUCUAUUACCAUCUUUGACCACAGUGGAACACCACAUUCUGGCAGUCUCAUGUACCGUUGUGGAUUUUCACGGCAUCUUGCCUAGCAAAUUAGAGUGAGACUUGGAUAUAGAAUAUAUCCAAAAAUAUAGCAGAUGCAUUUAAUACUCAUGCGCUGAGUAAAUCCAGAUUAUCAUCUGGAUUCAGAGCUGCCAAAAUGGUUUAGUAAACAGUAUUUUAGAUAGCUAACAAUUUUUUUAGUUUUUUAAUAUAUGACAAGAAAUAUUUAAAUUUUGUUUAGAAAAACUGGACUAUUUUUUCAUAAUAUUACUUUACUAUACUUGCGUAAAAGUGGUAAUUUUUAAAAUGUUGCACAGUGCUGUCAUUGCUGAACAUAAAUCAGUUUUAGCUACUCAUUGACAAAUAAAAUACACUAAGUAUUUUUUAGUGAUUUCAGCUCUAGUUCUUGUAAAGUAAGAGCUGUCAAAUGUUACUCUUUACCUUAAGUCAAUUAAAAUCUUUAUUAGAGAAGAAUGUUUCAGAAAUGGAUUAAAAAUGCAGUCACGGUUCUUUUGACGUCUGCAGUGUGUGACAUGAUGUCACAUGACAUGUUUAUCCUCUUUGGACAGCAGCAGAUGUUGGGUUUAGAAUUGUUGAUUCCUAGGAAGGCAAACUGCUAUCAAGAAAAGCUUGUGAAUAUACCAUUUUCAGAACUUCAGCUACUUUGAGAUUUUGUAGAUAAAGGUAGCUAUCUUAGGAUAUAGAUUUAUGUAUAGAAUUUUAGUGUAGAGAAGCUAAAAUGCUUGGAUCGCAGCUAAAUGCUGUGAUUUUACAAGAACGGAAGAAGAACUCAAAGUUGGUGACACUUGUGAACUGACAGGGAUUCAGAGAUUUCUCAUGUUUUGUGACCCCUUUCGUGCACAGGGUGAAAUAUAAUGCAGCAUAUAUAUAAUAUGCCCAAUAUAGUGUGUGUAUAUAUAUAUAGUUUUUUGAACACCUUGUGGUACUGACAUCCUUAAUACCUGACAGGGUCUCAGGGUCUUUCCUGGCUGAGGAAGAGAAAGAAGCAUGAAGCAGGAGUAGUUCAGAAUGGGUGCUAAUAUUAAUAAUCAAAUAUGUCCAGGGAGAUUUAAUAUGUCCAGUGAGAUUGAAUAGUGCAUGCUUGGUCAACUCAAGCAUGUGGAGCUGGGAUGAAGAUGCUGUCAGGUCCUGCAAGAUUGUUCGUGGGCUUGCGGAAGGAGGGAGUAUUUGAAAACCAUUCCAGUUCAGCUGCUUUUCUCUAGUUUUCUUUAAUGUAAGGUCUUCAUGACUAAAUUUGCCAGGGUCUUAAACAAACAAAAAACCCUUUAAUUACUUCACAGCUCUGUUUUGUAGAAAUGGUGUGAACUCUUAAAGCAUAACUGAGUAGAAGUGUAACAAAAGCCUGCAGUCAUAAAGACGCCAAUCAGAUUUACUCUGGAAGAGCUCUUUGUAGCAGAGCCGAGCGCUUCGUGGGUCCAGGUGGAAAGGACUGCUGCUGCUUUGUUUGCUCUAGUGCAGUCAGAAUUGCAGUGCGAGGAUAAGGCUCACUACCAGGAUUUUUUGGCAGCAGUGCUUGCUUAAACAGUCUCCAUGCUGAUCUCUGUGCUAAACUUGCUAAAGCUUUUGUGUGGCAGUGUGACAAACAAGAUCAAGACUGAUCUGGUCAAAAAAAUCCCCUUUAUUUUUAUUCUCUUUGUGGAUUGUUUACUGGAAUUAGUAUGGCCAGAGCUAUGGCAAACUGGAACUCUUCCUUUUCUACCAGUUUGUCUGAGUUCAUCCAUUAUUGCUAUUAAAACACCAUUGUGUCUGCUUUUCAGCCCUCUUCUGAUGGUAGCUGUUUAUUUGGACAUGAUGUGAAAGCAUUGCAAUGCCUGCGAGCUGGUAGAUCUGAAAAAGACUUGUUACGGCAAUUGGUUUAUAUUAACAUAUAGAUUACAACUUAAUACAUGAACUCAUCUGACUUGUAAAAAUUGAGAAAUGCCUUAGAAAUUCAGGAAUGAGUCCCUACAUGGAAAAUGUUAUAGGAUUUGGUAGAGCUACUGAAGGUAAGGUAUUCAGUCACCUGGGUAUGGUGGUAUUUGGUUUUAAAGAUGUAGUGAAUAUUUUAAUAUCACCACUGCGCCUUCACUGUUAACUAAAACAAAAAUGCCCUGAAGAGUUUGUAGUAGAUAAAGGCUCUUUCUGUGUAAACAGGAAAUUAUUUUUGAAUUAGUUUCAGAGCCUUUUUGUGGAUGGGAGCGAGGGAGGAGAGAAGAGGAAGGCAGUUUCCUCCUUGAUCCCUUCGGUGGUCCACAGAACAAGCCGCUGGAGACAUGAGAUGGUGGUGGAGAAGGUCUUAUGCAUGCUGAAUGUACGAUGCACGUUUGCUGCUGUUACUGCAAAAACAAGUUUCAUUCAAAUUGAAGAACACUGAGGAGGAAGAGAAAGAGUAGUAAUGUGGAGAUGUAGCAUGGGAAUAACCUUCUGAACUAAAGCUUGGUCCUUUGCAGGUAGCCUGUAUGCAGUUCAUCAAUGCCCUUGUUACAUCUCCAGAAGAUCUUGAUUUCAGGAUGCACUUGAGAAAGGAGUUUUUACAUUGUGUGCUGAAAAAAAUAUUGCCUGGGAAACGUUUCAAGAAAUUUGUAAGUGAGCAAAAGUUUCUGGAGUGAGAAGAUUUGGGAAGAAGAUCCGUAAUUCUUGGUCUCUUUCUCUGUCCAGAUACAAAAUAUGCUUCUCUGGCUUUCAAACAGAAUCGGUAUGAGUUCCACUUUUUUCUGGCUAUAUAAAAUUAGCAUCCAGUUGUGUAUGUCUAGUUCCAGGCCAAUUUUCAUUUAAAGCAUAGAGUGUACUCACACUAAUGGCUUUUGAACUAGUGUUGCUUUUUGUGUGAUGUGCCUAGCAGGAAGCUAAACUUGCCUCUUAGGUGUGUUGGAGAAAUUAUUCUGUAUUUCUUAUAAGGAACACUUCCCCCCCGCCCCCACCUCCAAAUACCUUUUUUUUUUUUUUUUUUUUUUUUUUUUACUUCUCGUGUAAGUAUUUCUGAGAAUGCACUAUAGAUGUUUUUAUGCUGUGAUCUAGAUUAACUUCUAACGACAAAAGUUGUAAACAUCCCUCAUUUACACUUCUUUAGCCUUCUUUAGUUGUCUUUCCUUGAUGUCUUGAAAUAUUCUUAUGCAAUGUUUUUUUAAGAAGAACUGACAUUGACAAGACUGAAUCGUCAACUAUGUUUUAUUGAGAGAGCUCAACUCUAUUAUGUUUUGUUUCUUUUACAGCUUAUGCCUGCUAUACUGGCUGAUAUUUUUGCCCUACUUUUUAUCAGCUGUGCAAUAAUAUUUAAAAAAAAAUCAGAAAAUCAGUUACAACUUAUUCUUUUUAAAAUGUGUUUUCUGCUCAGAACGUUAAUAUAUUAUAUUUUGCAAUGAUGUAAUCUUUGAAGGGGGGAAAUUGUUGCUUUAGGAAGAAAUGGAAAAUUAAGAUACGCUAUGCCUUGAAAAAUAGGAUUUGAAAGGUAACGAGAAUGAAGAGCUUGAUAUUCAGUUGAAAGUGUUUGAAAACAAAGAAGACGACUUAAUUGAGCUGUCACAUCGUCUCAGUGAUAUCGAAGCCGAAAUGGAAUAUCCUUUAUAGAAAUGGUGUUCUAAUGUGUUGAUUAGUAGUUUUAUUUAAACCUAAGGUAGCCUUCUCUACAUGCAGCUGAUUGUCACAAUUACAUCUCUUCCUAAGGAUUUUCACAAGCAGAUUUCAUUUCACUUGCUUUUGUUAGAAAUUUAGUUAGAAAAUUAGCGUCUGUAUUGAUAUAGUUCUCUUAAAUGCAAGUCAUUAGGAACUGAGUUAAUUUUUCAUAAAUAUCAAUUAUUAAACUAAAUACUCUGUUGGUUUGUAAUAUGUAAAGAUGUAAAAUUACACUUGAAUUUUAAGUCUCAUUAAAAUGGCAGGUUUGAUAACUAAAUUAGAACAAUUUUUCAAGUGGGUUUUUGAAACAAUUAAAAUAUAUGCCUUCUGUGGGUGUGAAACAGCAGUAAAUUUCAAGUUACAUGAGUCCAGAACUCUUACUUGACAUUGUCUGAAUUUGGAAAAAGUGCUAGGUAGUACUGAAGAAAUGGAGAAAUAUGGGAACCAAUGAAGGGGGUAUAAAAUCAGUAGCAUGUAAGAUUGUUGUUGCAUUAUAGUUGCAGAAGACAAUUUUGGGAAUUGUCUUUAAGAAAUUAAAAUGAUUAACCAGUGUGCUUUUUGCCAAUAGACAGGCUUACUUCAAAAUAAAAAUGAAAACUGUGUGAAAUAUGCUUAUAGGAUUUUAUGAUAAUGAGUAUACAGUGCAAUUUUUCUCAGUAGUUAUGAAACAUGUUUUAAUUGUUCAAUAGGGAACAAAGGUUCUGUGGGUAAUUGUAGUUGGAAAAGGAUAUUUAUUAAUAAGGGUAGUAGUUCAGAAUGUUAAAGGGUUUUAUAUUAAUUAUAUGAAUGCUCAUAUAGGUAACUUUUCUAAUUCUUAUGCAUUUCCCUGACAAUAUUUGCACUGAUAUUAAUAAAGUAUAUCAUCUGUUGUAUAAUAUGCUGAAAGAUGCAUCUUCUGAAAACUGCUUCCCAUUAGUUCUCCAACAUUUUCUUCCCAUCGGGCAUGAUUAUUAUGUCCAGUAGGAAUCAGCUGUCUUUGAUUUUUGGAGUGGGGAGUAGGGGAAGAACAGUAUCUUUAACAGUGUAAAAGUACUGCAUACAAAGUCUUGUUUUGAAAGAUAAUGCUUUGUUGUAAAGAGAUACUAAAAAUGAUUGUGUGAGAUGAAGAAAUUGAGUUAAAUAAAACCUGAGAAAUCGUCAAUGUUUUUGUAACGUUUUUAUAAUUUGAAAGUGUGGAAUAUCACCAGUUUAGCUUUCAUGGUUUUUUACUAUGAGAGCUUUAUGCUAUGUGAAAUUGAGAUGUAGUACCUUGGGCUGGUAAGACCUGAUAAUUUUGGGCACAGAAUCCUGUAGUCUUAGAGAUUCCUGAUGUUGUAGUAUAGAGAUGUAUAUCAAGGAAUUAAAUUAAGUUUUUGAUUUACUAAUUCAGUAAGUAAUUGAAUAAUGGAAUGGAAUUCAGUGUAUUGAGAGUCUGCUAAAUAAUUGCUGGAGUGAACAUUGAUAAUAUUUAAUAAGUUGUGUUUUUUAUUGUCUGGCAAAGUAUGAACUAAAAGUAAAAUAUAAACUAAAAGUAUACCA